UACGGGAGGCAGCAGUGGGGAAUAUUGCACAAUGGGCGCAAGCCUGAUGCAGCCAUGCCGCGUGUAUGAAAAGGCCUUCGGGUUGUAAAGUACUUUCUAGUCGUGAGGAAGGUGUUAAGGUUAAUAACCUUAGCAAUUGACGUUAGCGACAGAAGAAGCACCGGCUAACUCCGUGCCAGCAGCCGCGGUAAUACGGAGGGUGCGAGCGUUAAUCGGAAUUACUGGGCGUAAAGGGCACGCAGGCGGUUAAUUAAGUUGGAUGUGAAAUCCCCGGGCUUAACCUGGGAAUGGCAUUCAAGACUGGUUAGCUAGAGUCUUGUAGAGGGGGUAGAAUUCCAUGUGUAGCGGUGAAAUGCGUAGAGAUGUGGAGGAAUACCGGUGGCGAAAGGCGGCCCCUGGACAAAAGACUGACGCUCAUGUGCGAAAAGCGUGGGGAGCAAAACAGGGAUUAGAUACC
RNAcentral lists this ribosomal RNA (457 nucleotides) under uncultured bacterium. RNAcentral's name for it is "bacterial SSU rRNA". It matches the Rfam family "Bacterial small subunit ribosomal RNA", at positions 340 to 786 of the family's 1533-position model. The record is from RNAcentral.